GAUGAACGCUGGCGGCGUGCCUAAUACAUGCAAGUCGAGCGAACAGAUGAGGAGCUUGCUCCUCUGACGUUAGCGGCGGACGGGUGAGUAACACGUGGAUAACCUACCUAUAAGACUGGGAUAACUUCGGGAAACCGGAGCUAAUACCGGAUAAUAUAUUGAACCGCAUGGUUCAAUAGUGAAAGACGGUUUUGCUGUCACUUAUAGAUGGAUCCGCGCCGCAUUAGCUAGUUGGUAAGGUAACGGCGUACCAAGGCAACGAUGCGUAGCCGACCUGAGAGGAUGAUCGGCCACACUGGAACUGAGACACGGUCCAGACUCCUACGGGAGGCAGCAGUAGGGAAUCUUCCGCAAUGGGCGAAAGCCUGACGGAGCAACGCCGCGUGAGUGAUGAAGGUCUUCGGAUCUUAAAACUCUGUUAUUAGGGAAGAACAAAUGUGUAAGUAACUAUGCACGUCUUGACGGUACCUAAUCAGAAAGCCACGGCUAACUACGUG
This 497-nucleotide ribosomal RNA is filed under the name uncultured bacterium. RNAcentral describes it as "partial 16S ribosomal RNA". It matches the Rfam family "Bacterial small subunit ribosomal RNA", at positions 28 to 507 of the family's 1533-position model. The record is from RNAcentral.